GUAAAAGUAAAGAAGCAGAAAUAAAAAGGAUAAACAAGGAACUGGCAAAUAUCAGAUCAAAAUUUAAAGGUGACAAGGCUCUUGAUGGCUAUAGUAAAAAAAAGUACGUCUGCAAGUUGCUCUUCAUCUUUCUCCUUGGUCAUGACAUUGACUUUGGACACAUGGAGGCUGUGAACCUGCUGAGUUCAAACAGAUACACGGAAAAGCAGAUCGGCUACCUUUUCAUCUCUGUGUUGGUGAACUCAAACAGUGAGCUGAUCCGCCUGAUCAACAACGCCAUCAAGAAUGACCUGGCCAGCCGCAACCCCACCUUCAUGGGCCUGGCCCUGCACUGCAUCGCCAGCGUGGGCAGCCGGGAGAUGGCCGAGGCCUUCGCCGGGGAGAUCCCUAAGGUCCUCGUAGCCGGAGACACUAUGGACAGCGUGAAGCAGAGCGCGGCCCUGUGCUUGCUGCGCCUGUACAGGACGUCCCCCGAUCUUGUCCCCAUGGGCGACUGGACAUCCCG
RNAcentral lists this unclassified non-coding RNA (505 nucleotides) under Homo sapiens (human). RNAcentral's name for it is "adaptor related protein complex 2 subunit alpha 2 (ENSG00000280759.2, ENSG00000281385.2)". The record is from RNAcentral. Lineage: Eukaryota; Metazoa; Chordata; Mammalia; Primates; Hominidae.